Molecule: long non-coding RNA, 1655 nt
Filed under: Homo sapiens (human)
Lineage: Eukaryota; Metazoa; Chordata; Mammalia; Primates; Hominidae
Description: non-protein coding ZFHX4-AS1:25
Source: RNAcentral
GAGUGUGAGUGUGUCUCUGUGUGUGUAGGGGUCGAGGUGGGGGGGGUCCGUGUUUGCGAUCUGAACCUUUGGUACCUACAAGGAGGGUGUCUCACCGAACGGUAGCUAAAACCUCACCAGAACCGCGCGGAAGUGAGAAGUCGCGGCCAAAGGCGCCCGCAGAAGCCUCCUCUCUGGGCCGGACCCCAGCCCGAGCGGCCGAAAGGAGCCCCCCGCCCGGAUCACAGAAGUUUACAAGGAAAGGGGAAAUGUCUGAAAUGGAGAUUGCACAAUCCUGUCUUGAAGCAGAAGACUCAGCUAGAGCACAUCUGGAAACACCUGGCACUCCUCAAUAGAAUUCAAAUGCUAUUUUAAAAGAUGUAAAAUCUGAGCUGCAACACUGAACAAAAGCUGUACUUGCCAGCCAGCAAAGAUGCUACCACUCUGCACAACAGAUAAAACCCAUACAUAUAGGGAAGUCAAAAGAGUCUUUAAGCUACAGUGUUUGAGAGGCUGUUUGUCUCUGAUGGAAAAUUAAGAAAAUGGUAAGAGCAGCGUUAGCAUGAGGUGUUCAUUCCAAAUUUGUCACUGCAGUGUGUGUGGCAUUGUGUGCAAAAACAACUCUUCAAGCAAAAACACCUCCAGCAAACUUCCUCCUUCACUUCAAACCUCAUCUUCAAUUACAAUGUGGUUCCUACAAAGUAAAGGGCUGUUGUCCUCUCUUCAGACCUGUGCUGCUUCUGCGCACUAGCCCUGUAGACCAUCAAGGCCUAAAAAUAGCUGCUAGAUUCAAUGAGACAUGAAGCUGACAGAAAUGGCAUCAAGCUAAUUGGCAACAAACUCUAUGAAACCUACUCAGGAAAUCAUAUUUUUAAGCUGAACACCAAGUGGAUUCUUGUUUGAAUGUGAGGCUAACUUAUUUUUAUAUUUAUAUUUCAAAUAAAACAAAGGGGAAUUGUUAAAGAAGAACCUUUUUAUUUCCCUUAUUAUAUAUUUAUUUAAUCCUUUUAAAAGUUUUGUUAACAAAAUCUUUGGAUUCAGUGAUAUUUAUUUGAAAAGAUUGUUAUCCACACAUUAUGAUUAAGAAAGUGGGGCUUAAAGAGGUGCAAUGACAUGUCCUUAGUCAAAACAUAGACAACUUGAUUCUAAUCUAUCAGGAAAGACGACGAUAUUUAUAAGUAACCAGAACACAAAGUGCUAAGUUCAAUACUCAUAUUUUGAAUAACACAAGAAGUAAAAUCCUUUAUUUAAAGAAUCAAAGGGUUAUCAGAAGAGAAGUUAUUGGUGGAUGAUCACAGAGCUAAUAGCCAUAAUUAUACAUGACCUGCUGGAAGAUGGAAAAAACAUAACACAAAUCUUACCAUUUCCUCUGGUAGUUGAUUCAUAAGAAAACUCUUAGGUCUUGAUUGUUUACUUGAGAGUGUUGCUAUUGUUACUCAACUUAUUUAAAAAAAAAAUGGAAAAGUUAGUUUUGGUGGCUGUUGUUGUCUGGAAGAAAUAGACUAUAUUCAAAAUAAAAAUUGCCUGAAUAAGUCAACAUGAUUGCAUAAUUUUUCAAAUGUUGAUUCCUAAUACACAGAUUGUAAGGAUUCAGUUCACUGGAUGAGAUGUUGUUUUUAGAAAUGAUCUGCCUUCUCUGUUCAUUCACAUUCAAUUCAAGAAGUAGGAAAUUAUUC